This 64-nucleotide transfer RNA is filed under the name Carassotrema koreanum. RNAcentral's name for it is "tRNA-His". The record is from RNAcentral. Lineage: Eukaryota; Metazoa; Platyhelminthes; Trematoda; Plagiorchiida; Haploporidae.
UUCUUGUGUAGGUUAAUUUUAAACUAUUAGCUUGUGGUGCUGAGGAUUCGUUUGAUGCAGGAAA